CCCUACUGGUUUCGUUAAAUUUUCCCCCAAACCCCAUCCCUGUUCCACAAUGUUCCCUUGCUUUGUGUUCGUGGAACGUCUUCCCCUACUUGGACUGAGCGUCGAGGUUGAGGCAUCGAGGACUCUGCUAAAGGGUACCCUCAAACUCCUCAAUCUUAUCUCUUCAAUCUUCAUGUUGUUUUGGUAUGCAAUACCUCAAAUCUACACACGAUAUCGGUUGGGGGAAGGACGGUAGCCAUCCAUUUCUCCAUGCUCCUAAGGUUGAGUCGGUUAAGUCUGAAUGACUGUCUUCUGGAUAAAUGAAAGGUCACAAAUAAAGGUUGGAAACCAUGCCUAUGCAUCAUAGGAGGCUUGCCAAGCUAAAGAGAGCAAAGGAGGCAAAGAAGGGAAGAAUUUAGGCUUUUUCCGGAUUAGAACCAUUACAUUCCGGAUUGGAAAUGAAUAGGAAAAUGGCUUCCAAAAUGAAGACUUAGCCCAGCCACCUACUGCUCACGCCCAGCCAAAAUGCACCAGAAUUCAGCUUUUGAAAAAUGCAGUUUUUAAUGUUUUUGGAAUGGAACUUGCAGCCCAAGCUGAGUAGCGUCUUAGAUACUCUUCUUUAGUGAUCUUAGAAGCUUACAAAGUCAAACUUAGGCUCUCUCUUCACCUAUAAAAGAGAGGUGAAUCUCCAUGUAAAAUCUAACUUGAAAGAUAUAUUGAAGUGUUGUUGAGAUUACUCCAAACCUCUAUACUUCGAGUUCACCUUCUAGUGCCAAUUUCGCACUUCUUCCUCUAGCUUCCUUCCCCUUUGGAAGGCCUUCUGAGCUUGAGAAACCUCACACACUCACCAAACCUCCAUUGAACGAUUCAUCAAACACAUGGCGUGCACCAGAAACAUCCUUCACUCCUCCAUUCCACUGUGUCCAUUUUGAGUUUGGGAGAGCUCUCACUUGAAGUGUGGAACCGCUUCCAUCAUUUGGCAUCAAGAGCCAACACGUCCACGCUUGUCUACAAGAGCUAAGUCAAGUUUUCCCUUAGUUCUUCAAUUUUGUCAUGUGUAGUUUGUAUGUUCACUGUUUCAUCAUUUUUUACAUUUUUGAUUUGAUUGAAUUCGUGUUUUUUGUUGUUCUACUUGUGCCUUGAGUGUUCCAUAGUAUGUUUUCAUCAUUUUAAUCGGUGCAAUUCUUUUAUUUGAGUUCAAUUCAAGCUUUACUUUUCAUUCCAGUUAUGUCAUGGUCUUGUGCAAAAAAUAAAUGUUGUAGUUCUUAAUCUGUCAUCAAGUAUUGAAUUUGUUCAGCAUUGAAUUUUUUUUCGUUUUAAUGAACUUCAUUGCAGUGAUAGCUAUCCAUGGAUCAUAUAAAGCAAUGAGACAUUGUCUAGCUUUGAUCACAUGAGCUAAAGCAUUGAAAAAAAAAUGGAUACUGUUUCUCAAAAAUCUGCAUCAAAAGUCGAUUUUGGUUUGAUCUUGAGAAAUCUGUUUCUGUCCAGUUUUAUUGUUUCUAAACCUUGAGACAAGUUUCUUUAAUAAUAUUACACAUGUCUCAAGUAAUGGCAACUCAAAUUAAUCAUUGAAUUGCAAAAGGUAUGGUUAAGUUGAUUUAAAAUCUGGUGUUCAAGUUUUUCACUAUUUCCAUUUGAAGUUUUUCAUCGUGCUUGAUGUCCUUGUUGGAGUUUAGGUCAUUUAAAAUCUACUAGCUCAAAUUCUAUAGCUAGAUCUAGUCAUUUAGGACUUCCUUAUGCCUUGGAUUGUGCCGCCCAGCUUUGCUUCUGUUGUUCUAUUAAAUCUGGUCCAAUUUUGAUUAAAGUGCUGCAUAAUUGGCUACAGCUAUAUGAAUUGUUGAAUCUGGUCAUUUCUGCGCAUUGUAAACGUUUGAACAAGUUUAUUUGGUCAUUUCAAAGUUGUGUGCACUUUUAAAAUGGUCAUUUUUAGGCCUAUAUGCACGCACAAUCAUCUCUUAAACCAUCAAAAUUGCCUUUAAAAUGGAAGUGCACCAGUGAAUUCACAUUACAAUCUGUUUUCCUAUUGUUUCAAUGUUUAAACAUCUUUAAAAUGAUGAUACAAAGUUGUUUGAUGCAUCAAUUGAGCUGUUGAAUCACUUCCAAUCAAUUUUGGAUUUGAAACCACCAUUUUCAAUGUCAUUUUUGGUGUAGUGAGCAUUUUAAGUGUUGUUUGACAAUUUCAAAUCUUUAAUCUUCAUUUCUAGAUUGGCAAAAGCUGGUUUAGUGUUUCCAAAUAUAAUUACAAGAUCAAUGCACUGUAAUACAAUCAUAAAAAGCAAAAGAAAACCAAGCAAUCCAGUUUUGAACCCCAAAAAUCAAAAAUCACAAAAUCUGCACUUCUUUGGGGACUUUCAUCAAACAGUUGCGUUUUUAUCAAACACCUUACUGCAUUACUUUUGGCUCUUCUUUUUUUAUUUUUCUUGCUUGUUUAAUCUGAUUUAGUGCCUCUCCUAGGUUUUUUUUGUGUCCCUUCAUUGAUUCAAAACUUAAAAAUACUUGAAAUCAACUUGUUUGACCUCCAAUUUGUGCCACCCAUCCUGGUUUGUGAAUUUGAAUUCUGGUGCAGUGCAUAUUUUUGCUAUGAUUGGUUUAGUGCGUGGUAGGGUGCUGUGACAUUUUGGUGAGGCUUCCAAGGUCCAGAGUCCUUGCCUCAAGGAGGUAGCAUACUAGGAAGUGGAAGGGUUGCUGAAUUGGACAAGGAGGUAGCUCUAAAAGUAGUAAUUUGGCUUCAAUUUCCAAUAGCAUUUCACCAACUUGGCACCACUUUUUCCAUCCAAUUUUGGCCAGCAACGUUGCAGAAUUUUUACAGUAGCAGUCUAGCUUUUACAAUAGCUUCAUUUGUAACCUGUUAAGCAUAGCUUCAAGAGUUUUUCUAGCUUUGUAUCACGGAACCUUUGUGGUUUACUUGGCUUUUCAUUUUGCAACUCAAAGUGGCUUGGAAAAAUGCUUUUUAAGCAAUUUCAAGUGCACAAUUAAACAUUGUAAUAGCUUAGUUUCCAUUUCUUAGUGUGAAGGUGUG
Long non-coding RNA from Vigna angularis (adzuki bean), 2998 nucleotides. RefSeq lists it as uncharacterized. Lineage: Eukaryota; Viridiplantae; Streptophyta; Magnoliopsida; Fabales; Fabaceae. The transcript has 3 exons. The record is from RefSeq and is a predicted model, not a curated record.